UUAAGGAUCCAACGUUGCCGUGAGCUGUGGUGUAGGUCACAGAUGUGGCUUGGAUCUGGCUUUGCUGUGGCUAUGGCGCAGGCUGGCAGCUGUAGCUCCGAUGAGAUCCCUAGCCUGGGAACCUCCAUAUGCUGCAGGUGCGGCCCUGAAAAGCAAACAAACAAACAAACAAAAAACCUAAAAACAAACAUUAUAAGUUAAAAAAAAAAAAGGGGGCUUGAUUUCCUGUUGGCUUUCCCUUAUUAUGCCUGGCAUACUGGCCAAUAGAGUAGUUUCAUUCAUGUCUCUUCUGCGGUUGCCUAGUGAUGCUGUGCUUCCCCUGCUCAACCCACAAAACUGUCUUCCACAUGAGCUGGGCUGACUUACGGCCUGGAAGACGUUCACAUCCUAAUCUGCAGGACCUGUGAGUGUUAGCUUACACAACAAAAAGGACUUUGCUGAUGUGAUUAAAUUAAGGAUCUUGAGAUGGGAAGAGUUGAGUAGGCCUGAUGCAAUCACAACGGUUGUUAUGAGAGGAGGCAGGAGACUGAAGCAAGUUGUAGAACAUGUGACAACCAACAGAAACAAGAAUUUGGAGUAAUGAGAGGAAGGGGCUCUGAGCCAAGAAAAGUAGGCAACCUCUACAAGCCGAAAAAGGCAAGGAAACAGAUUUCUCCCUGAAGCCUCCAGAAAGAAUAACCCCUGCUGAUGCUUUGACUUUAGAUUUCUGACCUCCAGAACUAUUGUAGAAUAAAUGGGUGCUUUCUUGUGCUACUAAGUGUGUGGCAAUUUGUCAAAGUAGCCAUAGAAAACUACACAACCCAACCUUCACGAUUCUUUGUAACUAAGAGACUGAAAUUAUUCACUCAACAAAAUCCAUUCAAUGCCAGGCACUCUAGGUUAUUGCCCUCACAGUCUUUGUAUUCUAAUAGGAGGGGGUGGAAAAUAAGCAAUAAAUAUCAUGCUGAAGUGAUAAGUACUGUGUAUUUAGAGGGGGGAAAAAGGAGGAGAGUUGCAAUUUUAAAUACGAUGGUCAACGUGGUCCCUUGAGAGCAUGG
This 1037-nucleotide long non-coding RNA is filed under the name Sus scrofa (pig). Its description in RNAcentral is "lncRNA (ENSSSCG00050024812.1)". Lineage: Eukaryota; Metazoa; Chordata; Mammalia; Artiodactyla; Suidae. The record is from RNAcentral.